This 228-nucleotide unclassified non-coding RNA is filed under the name Hevea brasiliensis (rubber tree). The record is from RNAcentral. Lineage: Eukaryota; Viridiplantae; Streptophyta; Magnoliopsida; Malpighiales; Euphorbiaceae.
UUUAGCUUUUCCCACAUCCAAGCUCUCAAUUUUAAUCUUACAAAUUUAUAUUAUUUAUUUUUUCUUCUUAGUUAGUAGAGAAUACUGAGCUCAUAACUUCCUCUUGAAGGGAAUUAUAGCUACCAAUUUAGCUACCAAUUAAGCUGCCUUGGACGUACACUAGUUUGCUAAUUUGUAGGUGCAAAUCCUCAAUGAAAGUUAUUUCACUGAGGAUUUGCACCUACAAAU